GACGAACGCUGGCGGCGCGCUUAACACAUGCAAGUCGGACGGAAAGGCCUGCUUUCCCUUGUGGAUUGCGGGUACUCGAGUGGCGAACGGGUGAGUAACACGUGAGUGAUCUGCCCCCAACCUGGGUAUAAGCCUGGGAAACUGGGUCUAAUUCCCGAUAGGACUGCAGGGUGGUGCCUGUGGUGGAAAACGAUUUUCUAGUGGUUGGGGAUGAGCUCGCGGCCUAUCAGCUUGUUGGUGGGGUAAUGGCCUACCAAGGCGGCGACGGGUAGCCGGCCUGAGAGGGUGGACGGCCACAUUGGGACUGAGAUACGGCCCAGACUCCUACGGGAGGCAGCAGUGGGGAAUAUUGCACAAUGGGCGGAAGCCUGAUGCAGCGACGCCGCGUGGGGGAUGACGGCCUUCGGGUUGUAAACUCCUUUCGACCGCGAGGAAGCCACCUGGUUGGAAGGGUGGUGACGGUAGUGGUAGAAGAAGCACCGGCUAACUACGUG
RNAcentral lists this ribosomal RNA (494 nucleotides) under uncultured bacterium. RNAcentral's name for it is "partial 16S ribosomal RNA". It matches the Rfam family "Bacterial small subunit ribosomal RNA", at positions 28 to 507 of the family's 1533-position model. The record is from RNAcentral.